This 258-nucleotide non-coding RNA is filed under the name Anaerotignum neopropionicum. RNAcentral's name for it is "Clostridium neopropionicum T-box sequence". It matches the Rfam family "T-box leader". From Rfam's summary of the family: Uncharged tRNA acts as the effector for transcription antitermination of genes in the T-box leader family. The record is from RNAcentral. Lineage: Bacteria; Bacillati; Bacillota; Clostridia; Lachnospirales; Anaerotignaceae.
AAACUGGCUGUGAAAAGAAGAGUAAACGGUACGCUGUGUGAAAGAGAGCCUGAACGGUAUUUUUUACCUAGCUGAAAAAAGGUACAGAAGCACCCGUUGAACAUGGUCUUGGAGCUGCGCACCGAAAGAAUUACUUCUUUAGGCUGCGACGAGGGCGCCCGUUAAAGCGCAACGGUACUUUCUUUUGUACCUACUAAGGUCUUUUUUGCGAAAAAAAGACAAAUUAAGGUGGUAACACGGUGAAUAUCCGUCCUUUGU